GAUGAACGCUAGCUACAGGCUUAACACAUGCAAGUCGAGGGGCAGCAUGCGGAUUGCUUGCAAUCCGCGAUGGCGACCGGCGCACGGGUGAGUAACGCGUAUCCAACCUUCCCUACACUUCGGCAUAACCCGGCGAAAGUCGGACUAAUUCCGAAUGGUCUCCUUUGACGGCAUCAGAAGCGGAGUAAAGAUUUAUCGGUGUAGGAUGGGGAUGCGUCCGAUUAGCUGGUUGGUGUGGUAACGGCUCACCAAGGCUACGAUCGGUAGGGGUUCUGAGAGGAAGGUCCCCCACACUGGAACUGAGACACGGUCCAG
Molecule: ribosomal RNA, 315 nt
Filed under: uncultured bacterium
Lineage: Bacteria
Description: bacterial SSU rRNA
Rfam family: Bacterial small subunit ribosomal RNA
Source: RNAcentral